CAGUCGAACGAUGAACCGCUUUCGGGCGGGGAUUAGUGGCGAACGGGUGAGUAACACGUGGGCAAUCUGCCCUGCACUCUGGGACAAGCCCUGGAAACGGGGUCUAAUACCGGAUAUGACUGUCCAUCGCAUGGUGGAUGGUGUAAAGCUCCGGCGGUGCAGGAUGAGCCCGCGGCCUAUCAGCUUGUUGGUGAGGUAGUGGCUCACCAAGGCGACGACGGGUAGCCGGCCUGAGAGGGCGACCGGCCACACUGGGACUGAGACACGGCCCAGACUCCUACGGGAGGCAGCAGUGGGGAAUAUUGCACAAUGGGCGAAAGCCUGAUGCAGCGACGCCGCGUGAGGGAUGACGGCCUUCGGGUUGUAAACCUCUUUCAGCAGGGAAGAAGCGAAAGUGACGGUACCUGCAGAAGAAGCGCCGGCUAACUACGUGCCAGCAGCCGCGGUAAUACGUAGGGCGCAAGCGUUGUCCGGAAUUAUUGGGCGUAAAGAGCUCGUAGGCGGCUUGUCACGUCGGUUGUGAAAGCCCGGGGCUUAACCCCGGGUCUGCAGUCGAUACGGGCAGGCUAGAGUUCGGUAGGGGAGAUCGGAAUUCCUGGUGUAGCGGUGAAAUGCGCAGAUAUCAGGAGGAACACCGGUGGCGAAGGCGGAUCUCUGGGCCGAUACUGACGCUGAGGAGCGAAAGCGUGGGGAGCGAACAGGAUUAGAUACCCUGGUAGUCCACGCCGUAAACGGUGGGCACUAGGUGUGGGCAACAUUCCACGUUGUCCCGUGCCGCAUCUAACGCAUUAAGUGCCCCG
RNAcentral lists this ribosomal RNA (800 nucleotides) under Streptomyces sampsonii. Its description in RNAcentral is "bacterial SSU rRNA". It matches the Rfam family "Bacterial small subunit ribosomal RNA", at positions 59 to 871 of the family's 1533-position model. The record is from RNAcentral. Lineage: Bacteria; Bacillati; Actinomycetota; Actinomycetes; Kitasatosporales; Streptomycetaceae.